UUGGAGGGCAAGUCUGGUGCCAGCAGCCGCGGUAAUUCCAGCUCCAAUAGCGUAUAUUAAAGUUGUUGCAGUUAAAAAGCUCGUAGUUGAAUUUCGGGAUGAUCAGGUUGGUCGUGCCAUUGGUAUGUACUAGCUUUGGUGGUUCCUACCUCUUGAAGAACCGUAAUGUCAUUAACUUGGUGUUGCGGGGAAUCAGGACUGUUACUUUGAAAAAAUUAGAGUGUUUAA
Molecule: ribosomal RNA, 228 nt
Filed under: uncultured Sclerocystis
Lineage: Eukaryota; Fungi; Glomeromycota; Glomeromycetes; Glomerales; Glomeraceae
Description: partial small subunit ribosomal RNA
Rfam family: Eukaryotic small subunit ribosomal RNA
Source: RNAcentral